This is a long non-coding RNA of Sinocyclocheilus grahami, 1809 nucleotides long. RefSeq lists it as uncharacterized. The record is from RefSeq and is a predicted model, not a curated record. The transcript is spliced from 6 exons. Lineage: Eukaryota; Metazoa; Chordata; Actinopteri; Cypriniformes; Cyprinidae.
GUACAGACUUCCAAGACAUAUGGACUGACAUUAGCCAUAAUGAUGGACAUCUGCUUACGAACAGAGUAAGGGAUGAGCUUGGACUAUGCAGAGUUCUGGGAAAUUUGCCAUAAUGAUGGACAUCUGCUCAUGGACAGCAUAACCCCUGCUGGACAUUGUGCCGGAAGCACCAGGGGGAGACCGUACCAGUAUCCCCCUCCUUUGGGUGCACCCUUCACUCACACCACACCACUCAUAUCGCAGAGAUCUGGCUGGGAUUGAACCAGCAACCUCUUAACCCAUGAGGCAGCACUCAUACCUGUGAGCCACAGAUCUCUCGUCUGGCCACAUGAGGGAACUUCUACUUCACUGUUCACCUGUAGUCCUGCAGAACUUCAUGUUCACAUGGGGAGCUAUCAAACGUGCCUUUCCUAACCAUUGCAGCUUUGCUAUAAAUGCUGUUUGAAUCUGUGAACAACCAUACGAAAUCAUUGCAUAACUGUCAACAUUAGACGAUAAAAAUCACUUUAAAUGAAAGUAAAAAAAUAAUACAUCUACCUUACCAAAAGAUAAAUCACUCAAAAACAGCCGUAUUUUAUUUGUUUGUAUUUUGGCCAUGUGGCUUCCAGUUCAAAAGAUCAGACAUUUUACCCAUCAUUAAAGAGUUAAUCUGAGUCCAUUAACUGAUAGAUUCCGUGUUUAUCUGCUGCUCGAGAUCCUGACAAAAUUAUAGAUUUAUUUUAACACGUAUAAAGCCACAAAUUUGUGUCCUCCCACCGCUUCUCCUCUUUCAGUUUGGCGUCUCGUUUAAUAAAUGUGCUACACUUACUGACCACAAGAGGGAGCCGCUGAUCACCUGUUUUCACCUGUCUUACAUUCAACGAGCUAAACAGGGAUUCUGCUUGAGUAUGUCAAUGUGAAAGUAAACUACACGUUUAAGUAAUGAGUUAGGGACCAAAGUUGAAGUCAUGUUCAGUCUACUGGCACUAUAACACGACUCGUCUGGUGGGAAGGUAACGUGCAGUUUGUCGUCCGCACCACUAGGGGCGCAAGCGGACUCUGCCUCCGGCGAACUGUGCAUCGUUGACAACAUGACACCUGACAGCAGUGUCAACAACAACUUCAAACCGUUUUAUAGCCAUGAAAGUGCAGAUUCUGCCCAUGACAGCUCAGUGACAGACUCUUAAUGUGACUCAACAGCACAUAUUUCAGGCCAGAAUGAAACAAAACCAUCAUAUACGGCGAUAAAGUGCAUGAAUCGAGGAUGUCACGCGACUCACCUAAUAAGGCAUGUGUUUGGACUAUAUAAAGGUCUCGGACAUGUGGACAUUCACCGCAAUGAUGGACAUCUGCUCAUGGACAGCAUAACCCCUGCUGGACAUUGUGCCGGAAGCACCAGGGGGAGACCGUACCAGUAUCCCCCUCCUUUGGGUGCACCCUUCACUCACACCACACCACUCAUAUCGCAGAGAUCUGGCUGGGAUUGAACCAGCAACCUCUAAACCCAUGAGGCAGCACUCAUACCUGUGAGCCACAGAUCUCUUGUCUGGACACAUGAGGGAACUUCUACUUGACUGUUCACCUGUAGGUGAGCUGUGAGUUUCAAGUAAAGUGUCAGAUAAAGGCUUUAAAGCUGUGGUGUAGUGAUUGUGUCCAACACACUGAGGUGGGAUUUGAACCCACAACUCCAAUGCAUCCAUGUGUGCAAUUAACGUGUGUCUAGCCACUAGCACCACUGUGGCUUUCACGACGUGUGCUGGUGUUUGAGGCACUUUGUUGGAUAUAAUGCAAUAUGUGAGAUUUUUAACAUAAGCUAUAGUGGGAUUUGAA